CAGGGAAGGAAGUAUCCAAAUCAAGGAGAUUAGCCUGGUUGCAAUAGUACAGCAUUAGUAGCAUCUAGCAAGGAAGGGGUAGGAGAGAGAUACUGAGGGCAGACACAGGUAUAGAGAAAGGGAGAAAACAGAUUCAAGAAGUGUAAACUCUUCUACCAAAGAUGAAUAUCCAGCAAUAGAUUCAAGAAAAAAAAUUUUCCCUCAUUUCUUCUAGUCCCCAUGGGAACCCCUCUCUGAAGGGUUGUGCCCUAUACAGCAUCACAAAGCCUAGUAUUUGAUAAUAUGCUGUCUGGUUAUUGAUUGUGUGAGUUGUAGGAUGUGAGCACAGCUGGAAGCCAAUCAUCACCCAGCUCAUUCUUCUCAUACAGAUAAUCCAACUGAGGCACAAAGCAGGGAUGUAAAGCAUUUAUAAUGGAGAAAUUCUAUAAUACAUAGACAUUCUUGAUUAGAUGGAAGAUAACCUUAGUAAAGAUGGCUUUAGCAGCUGGAGAGAACAGGAGCAUUCUCUUUCCGAAGGUGGAGUUUGAGGUCUCAGUUCAAGAUUCCCUCGAAUCUGCACAAUGUUAGACCUCCUUCAAUAGAUACAAGAGCAACAGAGAGACACGAUGAAAAAUCAAUCACUCAAUCAGUCAACAAGGCCCUGGAUAAAUGGUCAAGAGAAGAGGAAAAAGUCAAGGAAAUCCCACACCGGCUGAUGAGAUUACUAAGAGGAUAGAGAGAAAGAAG
RNAcentral lists this long non-coding RNA (726 nucleotides) under Monodelphis domestica (gray short-tailed opossum). Its description in RNAcentral is "lncRNA (ENSMODG00000050393.1)". The record is from RNAcentral. Lineage: Eukaryota; Metazoa; Chordata; Mammalia; Didelphimorphia; Didelphidae.